GUGCCAGCCGCCGCGGUAAUACGGAGGGUGCAAGCGUUGUCCGGAAUCAUUGGGUGUAAAGGGUGCGUAGGCGGACUAUUAAGUCCGGGGUGAAAUCUUGCCGCUUAACGGCAAAAGUGCCUUGGAUACUGGUAGUCUUGAGUGUGAUAAAGGUCGGUGGAAUUCGUAGUGUAGCGGUGAAAUGCAUAGAUAUUACGAAGAACACCAGUGGUGAAAACGGCCGGCUAGAUCACAACUGACGCUCAGGCACGAGAGCGUGGGGAGCGAACAGGAUUAGAAACCCCAGUAGUCC
RNAcentral lists this ribosomal RNA (292 nucleotides) under uncultured bacterium. Its description in RNAcentral is "partial 16S ribosomal RNA". It matches the Rfam family "Bacterial small subunit ribosomal RNA", at positions 505 to 796 of the family's 1533-position model. The record is from RNAcentral.